RNAcentral lists this ribosomal RNA (497 nucleotides) under uncultured bacterium. RNAcentral describes it as "partial 16S ribosomal RNA". It matches the Rfam family "Bacterial small subunit ribosomal RNA", at positions 28 to 507 of the family's 1533-position model. The record is from RNAcentral.
GAUGAACGCUGGCGGCGUGCCUAAUACAUGCAAGUCGAGCGAACAGACGAGGAGCUUGCUCCUCUGACGUUAGCGGCUGACGGGUGAGUAACACGUGGAUAACCUACCUCUAAGACUGGGAUAACUUCGGGAAACCGGAGCUAAUACCGGAUAAUAUAUUGAACCGCAUGGUUCAAUAGUUAAAGACGGCUUUGCUGUCACUUAUAGAUGGAUCCGCGCCGCAUUAGCUAGUUGGUAAGGUAACGGCUUACCAAGGCGACGAUGCGUAGCCGACCUGAGAGGGUGAUCAGCCACACUGGAACUGAGACACGGUCCAGACUCCUACGGGAGGCAGCAGUAGGGAAUCUUCCGCAAUGGGCGAAAGCCUGACGGAGCAACGCCGCGUGAGUGAUGAAGGUCUUCGGAUCGUAAAACUCUGUUAUUAGGGAAGAACAAAUGUGUAAGUAACUAUGCACGUCUUGACGGUACCUAAUCAGAAAGCCACGGCUAACUACGUG